UUGGCGCAAGUAUUGUAUCGAUGAGUCAGCUUGGCUGAAGCACAGGAGAAGAACCAUUAAGACAUCUGGCGAAAGAGAAACAUGUAUGCAAAUGAUGCAUGAAAAUGCAAUGCUUGAUUGUUUUUAUUUUCAAGGAACAUAUUAUUUUAUUUGCAAAUAUAUAAUCAUAACAAUUGCAUAAUUUGAUUGACCAUAAAAAAUCUUUUUUAUAUAUAUAAUUUGGAAGGAUUACACUGAGUACAAUUUUAGAAAGCAAAAUACAAAAAAACAAUAGAAAAG
This 279-nucleotide long non-coding RNA is filed under the name Lathyrus oleraceus (garden pea). RNAcentral's name for it is "Pisum sativum (pea) long non-coding RNA (PSAT_LNC005328)". Lineage: Eukaryota; Viridiplantae; Streptophyta; Magnoliopsida; Fabales; Fabaceae. The record is from RNAcentral.